Molecule: ribosomal RNA, 566 nt
Filed under: uncultured bacterium
Lineage: Bacteria
Description: bacterial SSU rRNA
Rfam family: Bacterial small subunit ribosomal RNA
Source: RNAcentral
UUGAUCAUGGCUCAGAUUGAACGCUGGCGUGCAAGCCUAACACAUGCAAGUCGAGCGAGGUUUUCGGACCUAGCGGCGGACGGGUGAGUAAUGCGUAGUGAAGCUGCCCGAUAGAGGGGGAUACCAGUUGGAAACGACUGUUAAUACCGCAUAAUGUCUACGGACCAAAGUGUGGGACCUUCGGGCCACAUGCUAUCGGAUGCGCCUACGUGGGAUUAGCUAGUUGGUGGGGUAAUGGCUCACCAAGGCGACGAUCCCUAGCUGGUUUGAGAGGAUGAUCAGCCACACUGGGACUGAGACACGGCCCAGACUCCUACGGGAGGCAGCAGUGGGGAAUAUUGGACAAUGGGCGCAAGCCUGAUCCAGCCAUGCCGCGUGUGUGAAGAAGGCCUUAGGGUUGUAAAGCACUUUCAGUUGGGGGAGGAAGGGUGUUGUGUUAAUAGCACAGGCAUUUUGACGUAUACCCACAGAAAGAAAGCACCGGCUAAGCUCCCGGUGACCAGACAGCCGGACGGUAAUACGGAAGGGUGCAAGCGUAAAUCGGAAUUACUGGGGCGUAAAAGCGC